UCUCAGAAGAUCUGAUGGUUUUAUCAGGGGUUUCUACUUUUGCUCCUUCCUAGUUUUUCUCUUGUCGCUGCCAUGUAAGAAAAGCCUUUCACCUCCUGCCAUGAUUAUGAGACUUCCCCGGCCAUGUGGAACUGUUAAGUCCAAUUUAACAUCUUUUUCUUCCUAGUCCCAGGUUGUUGUCAUUCAUGGCUGGAUCACACCAGCAAGAAGGACUUUAAAGGACAACUCCUUCGGGCCGUCCUACACUGAAAACGCCUGAGCGCUGCUGUCUUUGUGCUUGCAGAAAAUCACGGUACUGAACAUGCCAACCUCAUGGGUUAGUUGAGAGAAGUGUGUGGGUAUUCCCGGUCAAACACCCAGCCUAGGGCCAGCCGCUACCAGCACUCCACUCCGAUGACUGCAGGGAAGUGGUUCAUAUCCAUAAAACCAA
Molecule: long non-coding RNA, 430 nt
Organism: Nomascus leucogenys (northern white-cheeked gibbon)
Lineage: Eukaryota; Metazoa; Chordata; Mammalia; Primates; Hylobatidae
Exons: 3
Source: RefSeq, a predicted model, not a curated record